GAAAUUUCGAAAGUAAGCGGCGGCGUCUGGUUUUUCACGGACCUCGUUUCACCAACUGGGGGUGGGUUGGCGAGAGGCGGUAGAACGAGGAGCACAGAGACGUCUCGUUUCCGACGGCGUUACCGCGUUGAGUCGCGCGGAAUAGAGAUUGUUCGAGCGAUGGAACGACUCCGGUCGAGACACAAGGUAGCUGUUUGGCGAAGUUGAGGGAAGAGAAAUGGGGCUGAUUAAUUGUUUGAUGUACGCUAUCAGUGCAAAAUAGAGUUGCUUAUAAAUGUAUUCGAAUACCAGUAGAAAUUUUUUAUGAAAAUAAUCAAUUAACGAAACAUUUUGAAAUUUCACGAGCACCGUAGUGAUUAUGUAGCAACCCAUCAUGAUUCGUACAAAAGCAAAGAAGACAUC
Bombus terrestris (buff-tailed bumblebee) is the source of this 402-nucleotide long non-coding RNA. RefSeq lists it as uncharacterized. NCBI's taxonomy places the organism in Eukaryota, Metazoa, Arthropoda, Insecta, Hymenoptera, Apidae. The transcript is spliced from 2 exons. The record is from RefSeq and is a predicted model, not a curated record.